GUCCACGCCCUAAACGAUGUCGACUAGGUGUUGGGGAAGGAGACUUCCUUAGUACCGCAGCUAACGCGUGAAGUCGACCGCCUGGGGAGUACGGUCGCAAGAUUAAAAACUCAAAGGAAUUGACGGGGACCCGCACAAGCGGUGGAUGAUGUGGAUUAAUUCGAUGCAACGCGAAAAACCUUACCUACCCUUGACAUGCCAGGAAGUCUGCUGAGAGGUGGAUGUGCCCGAAAGGGAACCUGGACACAGGUGCUGCAUGGCUGUCGU
This 267-nucleotide ribosomal RNA is filed under the name uncultured bacterium. RNAcentral's name for it is "partial 16S ribosomal RNA". It matches the Rfam family "Bacterial small subunit ribosomal RNA", at positions 793 to 1055 of the family's 1533-position model. The record is from RNAcentral.